This is a long non-coding RNA of Carassius auratus (goldfish), 1314 nucleotides long. The record is from Ensembl. NCBI's taxonomy places the organism in Eukaryota, Metazoa, Chordata, Actinopteri, Cypriniformes, Cyprinidae.
AUGAGCAGGAGCAGUGAGAGGAGCAGGAGCAGUGAGAGGAGCAGUGAGCGGAGCAGUGAGAGGAGCAGGAGCAGUGAGAGGAGCAGUGAGCGGAGCAGUGAGGGAAGCAGGAGCAGUGAGAGGAGCAGUGAGCGGAGCAGUGAGAUGAGCAGGAGCAGUGAGAGGAGCAGUGAGCGGAGCAGUGAGAGGAGCAGGAGCAGUGAGAGGAGCAGUGAGCGGAGCAGUGAGAGGAGCAGGAGCAGUGAGAGGAGCAGUGAGAGGAGCAGUGAGAGGAGCAGGAGCAGUGAGAGGAGCAGUGAGCGGAGCAGUGAGGGAAGCAGGAGCAGUGAGAGGAGCAGUGAGCGGAGCAGUGAGGGAAGCAGGAGCAGUGAGAGGAGCAGUGAGAGGAGCAGUGAGAGGAGCAGGAGCAGUGAGAGGAGCAGUGAGCGGAGCAGUGAGAGGAGAAGUGAGAGGAGCAGGAGCAGUGAGAGGAGCAGUGAGCGGAGCAGUGAGGGAAGCAGGAGCAGUGAGAGGAGCAGUGAGCGGAGCAGUGAGGGAAGCAGGAGCAGUGAGAGGAGCAGUGAGCGGAGCAGUGAGAUGAGCAGGAGCAGUGAGAGGAGCAGGAGCAGUGAGAGGAGCAGUGAGCGGAGCAGUGAGGGAAGCAGGAGCAGUGAGAGGAGCAGUGAGCGGAGCAGUGAGAUGAGCAGGAGCAGUGAGAGGAGCAGGAGCAGUGAGAGGAGCAGUGAGCGGAGCAGUGAGGGAAGCAGGAGCAGUGAGAGGAGCAGUGAGAGGAGCAGUGAGAGGAGCAGGAGCAGUGAGAGGAGCAGUGAGCGGAGCAGUGAGAGGAGAAGUGAGAGGAGCAGGAGCAGUGAGAGGAGCAGUGAGCGGAGCAGUGAGGGAAGCAGGAGCAGUGAGAGGAGCAGUGAGCGGAGCAGUGAGGGAAGCAGGAGCAGUGAGAGGAGCAGUGAGCGGAGCAGUGAGAGGAGCAGGAGCAGUGAGAGGAGAAGUGAGCGGAGCAGUGAGGGAAGCAGGAGCAGUGAGAGGAGCAGUGAGCGGAGCAGUGAGAGGAGCAGGAGCAGUGAGAGGAGCAGUGAGCGGAGCAGUGAGAGGAGCAGGAGCAGUGAGAGGAGCAGUGAGAGAUUGUUUUUAUUUUACCCCCCCAACUGUAAGCAAUACUGUCAAACCUUUUCUGUUCUAUCAUACCGUGUUUCUACUGUACCUCCUGCUGUAAACAGUAGAGGAAUUUUUUUUUUUACUGGAAUGCUUUUGAAUGUGAACAUUACUGUACAUUUGGACAUACAGUUCCUAACCAAGAAAUUUAGUGUAAAACAGUGA